This 465-nucleotide ribosomal RNA is filed under the name uncultured bacterium. Its description in RNAcentral is "partial 16S ribosomal RNA". It matches the Rfam family "Bacterial small subunit ribosomal RNA", at positions 339 to 795 of the family's 1533-position model. The record is from RNAcentral.
CUACGGGCGGCUGCAGUCUAGAAAUUUGCACAAUCGACGAAAGUUGGAUGCAGUGACGCCACGUGGAGGAUGAAGCCCCUCGGGGUGUAAACUCCUGUCAGGAGGGAAGAAGGCGCAUAUAUUAAUACCAUUUGUUGCUUGACGGUACCUCCAGAGGAAGCCCCGGCUAACUACGUGCCAGCAGCCGCGGUAAUACGUAGGGAGCGAGCGUUGUUCGGAUUUACUGGGCGUAAAGAGCACGUAGGCGGGUAUGUAAGUCGGUUGUGAAAUCCUCUGGCUCAACCAGAGAAUUGCAGCCGAAACUGUAUACCUUGAGUCUAGCAGAGGGAAUCGGAAUCCUAGGUGUAGCGGUGAAAUGCGUAGAUAUCUAGGAGAACACCAGUGGCGAAGGCGGAUUCCUGGGCUAGUACUGACGCUGAGGUGCGAAAGCUGGGGGAGCGAACAGGAUUAGAUACCCCCGUAGUC